This 328-nucleotide ribosomal RNA is filed under the name uncultured eukaryote. RNAcentral describes it as "partial 18S ribosomal RNA". It matches the Rfam family "Eukaryotic small subunit ribosomal RNA", at positions 1470 to 1796 of the family's 1831-position model. The record is from RNAcentral.
CCCUUAGAUGUUCUGGGCUGCACGCGCGCUACACUGAUGCGCUCAACGAGUUUACGACCUUGCCCGGAAGGGUUGGGUAAUCUUUUUAAAACGCAUCGUGAUGGGGAUAGAUUAUUGCAAUUAUUAAUCUUUAACGAGGAAUUCCUAGUAAGCGCGAGUCAUCAGCUCGUGCUGAUUACGUCCCUGCCCUUUGUACACACCGCCCAUCGCUCCUACCGAUUGGGUGUGCUGGUGAAAUGUUCGGAUCGGCCGUUUGUCGCGGUUUCCGCGGCUCGUGGCUGAGAAGUUCAUUAAACCCUCCCACCUAGAGGAAGGAGAAGUCGUAACA